Molecule: non-coding RNA, 192 nt
Organism: Gorilla gorilla gorilla (western lowland gorilla)
Lineage: Eukaryota; Metazoa; Chordata; Mammalia; Primates; Hominidae
Source: Ensembl
GCAUAGUGUUACCAUCAACAACCUUAACUUCAUUUUUCUUAUUCAAUACCUAGGUAGGUAGAUGCUAGAUUCUGGAAAUAAAAUAUGAGUCUCAAGUGGUCCUUGUCCUCUCUCCCAGUCAAAUUCUGAAUCUAGUUGGCAAGAUUCUGAAAUCAAGGCAUAUAAUCAGUAAUCAGUGAUGAUAGAAGGGUA